Molecule: ribosomal RNA, 496 nt
Filed under: uncultured bacterium
Lineage: Bacteria
Description: partial 16S ribosomal RNA
Rfam family: Bacterial small subunit ribosomal RNA
Source: RNAcentral
AUGAACGCUGGCGGCGUGCCUAAUACAUGCAAGUCGCGCGAACAGACGAGGAGCUUGCUCCUCUGACGUUAGCGGCGGACGGGUGAGUAACACGUGGAUAACCUACCUAUAAGACUGGGAUAACUUCGGGAAACCGGAGCUAAUACCGGAUAAUAUAUUGAACCGCAUGGUUCAAUAGUGAAAGACGGUUUUGCUGUCACUUAUAGAUGGAUCCGCGCCGCAUUAGCUAGUUGGUAAGGUAACGGCUUACCAAGGCAACGAUGCGUAGCCGACCUGAGGGGGUGAUCGGCCACACUGGAACUGAGACACGGUCCAGACUCCUACGGGAGGCAGCAGUAGGGAAUCUUCCGCAAUGGGCGAAAGCCUGACGGAGCAACGCCGCGUGAGUGAUGAAGGUCUUCGGAUCGUAAAACUCUGUUAUUAGGGAAGAACAAAUGUGUAAGUAACUAUGCACGUCUUGACGGUACCUAAUCAGAAAGCCACGGCUAACUACGUG